GAUGAACGCUGGCUACAGGCUUAACACAUGCAAGUCGAGGGGAAACGACGGGGAAGCUUGCUUCCCCGGGCGUCGACCGGCGCACGGGUGAGUAACGCGUAUCCAACCUGCCUCUGACUGAGGGAUAACCCGUCGAAAGUCGGCCUAAUACCUCAUGGCAUCGUCUGCGGGCAUCCAACGACGAUUAAAGAUUUCAUCGGUCAGGGAUGGGGCUGCGUCUGAUUAGCUUGUUGGCGGGGUAACGGCCCACCAAGGCUACGAUCAGUAGGGGUUCUGAGAGGAAGGUCCCCCACAUUGGAACUGAGACACGGUCCAAACUCCUACGGGAGGCAGCAGUGAGGAAUAUUGGUCAAUGGGCGGGAGCCUGAACCAGCCAAGUAGCGUGCAGGAUGACGGCCCUAUGGGUUGUAAACUGCUUUUAUGCGGGGAUAAAGUGAGGGACGUGUCCUUCAUUGCAGGUACCGCAUGAAUAAGGACCGGCUAAUUCCGUG
This 491-nucleotide ribosomal RNA is filed under the name uncultured bacterium. RNAcentral describes it as "partial 16S ribosomal RNA". It matches the Rfam family "Bacterial small subunit ribosomal RNA", at positions 28 to 507 of the family's 1533-position model. The record is from RNAcentral.